GGGGGCGGUCUACCAGAGUUGGGAGCCAUGCUGCUGGUGCAGAUCUGCAGCCAGCACCUUCCCUAAAGUUGUGGCGAUGGCCGGAUCGUUUUGCUGUCACUGGAGACUGAAGCACCCUGCACUGCUCGUGAUCAGUAACAGGAGGUCCUCAAGAUGCAUCAGCCACAUCUGUUCCCUUCCUUGUCUGCUUGGCCCCCCCAUGCGCUUGUAGCCAGCAGCGUCCCUCGGGGCUGCACCUGGGCUGUAAAUGCCUCCUGUUCCCCCCGGAGGGCACCGACCUUGGAGCAGGCUCAACCUCCGCUCAGCUCCUGCGCCACUGCAGGAAGCUGACGAUGAUGAAGGAGAGUGCAGGCGCAGGGAGCGCGGUGGUGCAGUCCAUCCGGACCACACAUCUAGGGGUGCUCCAGUCACGGUCAGGAUAGAAGACAAGGAGGUCCUACUGGCGAUGCUGUAUUUCCACAAUCUUCUCAGUGUUUGAGAUCAAAAAAGGAAGUGUUCAGAGACGAGUGCAAUAAAGACCGGGCUGCUGGGGUAGAAUGUCA
RNAcentral lists this long non-coding RNA (542 nucleotides) under Crocodylus porosus (Australian saltwater crocodile). RNAcentral's name for it is "lncRNA (ENSCPRG00005001754.1)". The record is from RNAcentral. Lineage: Eukaryota; Metazoa; Chordata; Crocodylia; Crocodylidae.